Molecule: ribosomal RNA, 409 nt
Filed under: bacterium
Lineage: Bacteria
Also listed under: 1 other name
Description: partial 16S ribosomal RNA
Rfam family: Bacterial small subunit ribosomal RNA
Source: RNAcentral
UGGGGAAUAUUGCACAAUGGGCGAAAGCCUGAUGCAGCGACGCCGCGUGAGGGAUGACGGCCUUCGGGUUGUAAACCUCUUUCAGUAGGGAAGAAGCGUAAGUGACGGUACCUGCAGAAGAAGCGCCGGCUAACUACGUGCCAGCAGCCGCGGUAAUACGUAGGGCGCAAGCGUUAUCCGGAAUUAUUGGGCGUAAAGAGCUCGUAGGCGGUUUGUCGCGUCUGCCGUGAAAGUCCGGGGCUCAACUCCGGAUCUGCGGUGGGUACGGGCAGACUAGAGUGAUGUAGGGGAGACUGGAAUUCCUGGUGUAGCGGUGAAAUGCGCAGAUAUCAGGAGGAACACCGAUGGCGAAGGCAGGUCUCUGGGCAUUAACUGACGCUGAGGAGCGAAAGCAUGGGGAGCGAACAGG